GGUAGAGGGCACUAUGAGCAGAAAGGAAUGAUCCACCAUCGUGAUGGCAGACAGUUGUGGGUAGACCUGGUGUCUACAUGUGGAUUUGCUAGACGGGAUAUGACAUGACAUGGUUGUUGUGUGGUGANNNNNNNNNNAGGAAGUGUGAGGAGAGGGGUGAAAACGUUGUCGUGAGCAGACCGCCGUCGCCGUCAGCCUUUGGACCCAAAGUCGAGCAGUGAGGUGAUUGUGAUAGGGGAAGCGAGGAAGAGGGCACUGUGAGUAGAAAGGAAUGAUCUACCACAAUGAUGGCAAACGGUUGUGGGUAGACCCGGUGUCUACACGUGGAUUUGCUAGACGGGAUAUGACAUGACAUGGUUGUUGUGUGGUGAGGUGCCAUGGGAUAAGACAUGACACGGGAUAUAACUAACGUGUGGGUGUGUUUGGUUGUCGCCGACAGGGCACUCUGCUAUGUGUGCUGCCACAUAGUCUGAGCUCCCUUGUGUGGCUUAGUGGUGGUGAAAGGCUUGCACCUAUUGUUGGCGUGAUGAUGGCGACCUGGCACAUUCUUUCCUUCAUGAAGGCCUCAUCGUGGUGAUGUCCUUCUCCAUCGUGAUUGUCGGUUUGGCAAGGUUGCUUUGUGGUCAGGCUCGGUGGAUGUCAGAGCGGUGGGAAUGACUACAAUUUCAACAAUGUAACCAGCUGAUAUGUCCCUCUCCAAUGUGACGAUCCUAAUCAAAACAAG
RNAcentral lists this long non-coding RNA (724 nucleotides) under Hordeum vulgare. RNAcentral's name for it is "long non-coding RNA (HVUL_LNC009390)". The record is from RNAcentral. Lineage: Eukaryota; Viridiplantae; Streptophyta; Magnoliopsida; Poales; Poaceae.